UUCCAGGAUUCGGAAUGCCACUGAAUCUGGACAGUUGUCUCUGCUGCUGGUGCUGGUCCUCACGUUCAACUACACACUCAUACCUCUGUUUAUUGGUUUAUUUUCGUUAUAUUACCAUUUGCUCUCUUCCAGAUGUGGUGUUACAGUAUGUACUGUGGUGAAGAAGGCACUUCUCCUUCACUUGCUCCUCAUCUGGAGAUGUUCGUAAGGUCAAACUUCCUACACUCCCCAAAUCUUGGUGAAGCCGAGUGGUGCUACAACAUCCCUCCGUUAGCUUACUCGCACGUCCAGGAUAAAUACUGGGAGAUCUCCCCCAACAUGAAUAUGAAAACCCACUUCAAGGAGCACAGUUUCAUUUGUUGGCUUUUAGUAUACACCACUUGGUCUCAGACUUGAAGAAACAUCAUCUUAAAGAAUACAGUAAUGAACACACCAACCUUCUCUUCAGGGAGGGGAUAAUAACUUUUCAUACAAAUAUUAUGGUGGAUGUUACUGCAUAGCUGACAAGUUUCUUUCUCGGUAUUAGUGUUACAAGUUGUUAUAUUUAACCAAAUGUUCUGGUAACUUAUAUAAAGCUCAGGUCCAAGUGAUGAAGAAAAAUGUGUUUGUUUUUCUGUUU
Homarus americanus (American lobster) is the source of this 619-nucleotide long non-coding RNA. RefSeq lists it as uncharacterized. Lineage: Eukaryota; Metazoa; Arthropoda; Malacostraca; Decapoda; Nephropidae. The record is from RefSeq and is a predicted model, not a curated record. The transcript is spliced from 3 exons.